GUGGGUUCGCGAGGGCCGACGGCUUGCUCUACCUACCACUCGGACGAUGACGACGACGGGAACUGCAGAUACUGCUACGGCUUGGCUUGCUGCUACCAAGGCAGUUUCUGGGAGGCUCUAAAUUGGGUACGAAUCAUGCCAUGAACCAUUCACGACCACAGAUCGAAGCGCUGCUACACGGGCAAACUGCCAGUGCAAAUGGGAGGAGCCUCCCUGGCAUAGGGGAGGCACAGAGCUUGUCGUCUCCUGCCCAAGCUGCUGCUGCCCGCAACCACGCCCUCUAGAUUCUGCUUGGCCACAGUUUCGACCACCUGCUCCUUUUAGCGACUACGUCCCUGAGUUGCUGCUAGCGUCCACCACUCCAAGCUGCUUCUGAUGCCUGAUGAGUUGAUACUGGAGGUUGGACCAUACAUUGAGGAGCUCAAGAGAACACAUGGUGCUAUUUCUGAAUUUGGAAAGCCGAAGUUCAAGGCAUAUAGGUUGCUCGACUUGGCCAAAACGACGAUGGCGACGAGGGCCGAGUUGCGGUGCCCUUCUUCUCGGCCCCCUCUUCCAGCUUCCUAGCUGUCCGCUACCGGUUACCGAGAGAUAGAUGGUUGCGGCCGCCCAUGUUCUAAAGCCACUGCUGUAGAAGCAGGUGCAGUUUAUCGAUGGAAGUGACCGAAGAGAACUGUGAUGCAUCCCAGGAAGCGAAGGUCAUGCCCAUCGAGGCAAUCUCAGCAGGGAAAUUGGAACAUGAUGUUGGUUAUCUCACCAAGGAGAUCCUGUUGAGUCGAACCUUUGCAAUCAUGAUCUUUGUGUCUCUACGCAGCGUUUGUGUUCAUUAAAAUGAAGAAACCUGUUGCUGCCAUCCAUGAUGCCAAUGCUUCUCUACAGAACGCAGGCCCACAGAGGGUCUUCAUCCACGACACACUGAAAGGAGCACCAUGAAACAGAUGGACGAAGGAGUAUGCUGCAGCUGCUUGACGCCAGCGAGGAGCCCCGUGCCGUUUGUGCGGUCGUGGAAGGCCCACACAGCACCUCGGUUCGGUCUUGGCCGUCUCCUUGGAUGUGGUUGUCAGAAACAAGAUCGCACCCGCUGUACUGCUGUGCCGCUGCAGCUGGUGAGACAUCUCUUGCCUUAUCUCUCUCCCCGAAUUGUGCAGGGCGCUGCCCUGAGUAUUAAUUUUUUGAUCCGCUGCUUUUAUGGUUGAUUCCACGGUUGAUAGUUUGAGCAGAUCACUUGUCCAUGCCGCUUAUGAUCUAGAGGAAUGGUAAUUUUUAUCUCCUUUUGCCAAUUUGAACAUGUAGUAGUAUGCAUGUAUUGCUUGAUAUAUUUUCAUCCUUAAAAGUUAAUUUGCACGCCGUGUGGUUUGACCAUCUAUGCUGCCUCAUGUGCAAUCAGAUGCCAGAGACCAUGCGCCACCUCAUAAUCGAGUCACCGUUUUCUUUUUCUGUUUCAACCAAUAUGGAACUAGUUACCUAGACUAUGUGGCAUCCUUAGUUUCAACCAAUAUGUUGUGUCCUUAGGAUUUAACCAUCAUCUGGCAUCCUGCUGUAUAUUUUUUCCCUAUAGGUGGUGAUAAUUUGCUAUAAAUCAAAUCAAACCAAAUCCCGGUCUUAUACCAUUAACCAUGGUUUGUGAAUUCUUAAAUGUGUCUUCUUAUAUGUUUCGUCUGGGUGUUGUGCUCAGAUGAUGAAACUGAAGUGAAAUAAGAAAUCUUGCGGCUAGAUCUGGCCAUUCUAGCUUCCGGUUGUGCUGUUGCUGUGCUGUGCAACCGCGGUGGU
This is a long non-coding RNA of Lolium rigidum, 1767 nucleotides long. RefSeq lists it as uncharacterized. The transcript has 8 exons. The record is from RefSeq and is a predicted model, not a curated record. Lineage: Eukaryota; Viridiplantae; Streptophyta; Magnoliopsida; Poales; Poaceae.